GGAAAAAAAUAGAAGUAAUGCAAUCAUAGUAUAUUACAUUGCUGAGCUAUAAAAAAUGAUUCAUAAUAAUGAACGCUGAUGGCUGAUAUAAUUAAAAUUGUGGUUUAACAGUGUUAGGAAUCUAGAAGGAAGAGAAUGAAUACGUGUGUCUGUGUGUGUGUGUGUGUUUAAAGCAAAAGUUCUAAUUUUCCUUAGUAGGAAAUCAAUUAACAAUCUCUAAAACUGCAAAAUCAAGAAAUAGCAGUACAUGUUUUAAAAUACUGAGUUUGAGGAGUUCCCACUAUGGUGCGGUGGGUUCAGAACCUGACUACAGCAGCUCCUGUCACUGUAGAUUAAAAGGAUCCAACAUUGCUGUGGCAAUAGGUUGUAGCUGCAGGUCAGAGUCAAUCCCUGGUCGAGGAAUGUCUAUUGCCGCAGGUGUGGCCAUAAAAUAAAUACAAAUUUAAAAAUAAAAUACCGAGUUGAUUCCCAGAGGAAAGAAAUAAGAUUUUAAAGUCAGGUUGACUCUGAAGGGGACGAGGAGAAAGGACAGCAAGAGGUGCCGUCAUCAUUACAAGCCUUCUGACACCGUGUGAUGCGGUAACGCUCCUUAGGUAUUAUAUUAAUAAUACAAAAAUUACAAGGAGGAAAAAGGAAGGGAGAGGGAGGGUGGAAGGAAGAAAAUGGCUCGGUCAUAACAGCAUUCACGGAUUACACUCUACCAGUGAACAUGGUGAUCGCCAGAGCCAUUACAUUAAGUCUCAAACAAGCUACAUUUAAAGUAUUUACCUAAUUACCCAGAGGGAGUUCACCAGUCUAAAGGUUACUGCACAACCGCCUGGAAGAGCUUCGCAAAAAUACAGAUUCCUGGGUCCCGCACUCGAUGGUUCCGAGUCAACGUGCGCUGGCGGGGCCUGGAAAUGUGCCCUUAGUUCCCCAGAUGAUUGCUUAGCACAGCAGGUUCAGGAACCGCUGAACUAGAGCGGAAAUUGUGAGUGUGGAUAGGGAGGGGCGAGGGAAGGCGGCUUUUGUGAUCCCACAUUUCUGCGCACAUGUCGGUGUGGUGUGCGUCUGUCUUCUUCCCUCCAGCCCGCCUUCCUCGUCUUUUAUCCUGACCCGUAAGUCCCCCCUCACCGCCGCCAGAAAUGAAGAUGCCCAUCCCCGGGAUUUUAACCCCAGCAAGGCGGCGCUUUCUCGCCCGGCCCCGGGGCUCCCUCUGCUGGCAGAAACCUGUUAAAACUCUUCAACCUGGAUUCCGCGCCGUGUUCCUCUAAGGCCAUUUUCCCAGGCUGUUUAUCAAGCCCUCAAAUUUCAGGAAGCUCCCAUCAGACAGAAAGGGAAAAAUCCAACCAGCCCAGGAAAAACUUUCCUGCCCUACAAAUGGGAAUACAUAAAUAAAUAUCAGGAAGGGCGCAGCCUGAGGCAGAAAUAACAAUAAACUGUACAUACUGCGGCCACAUCUGAAGAAAAGGCGAGCUGAAGGAGUUCUGCUCCCCACCUUCUUACCCCCCACCCCCGAGAGAGAUGGACGGACAGAUGCGCCUCGAAAUCGAAGGAAGGAAACAGCUUAGGCGAAAAGCUCACUGAACGGGAAAGCGGAACGCGGGAACACGGGCGUGCUCCCCUUCUCUUACUUCCUGGAGUCUUCUGGAGCCACGGGCCGGAUCCCACAAGCCAGCCCCUCCAAGCGACUUGGUCUACAGGCUCCGUUAGAUCUUUUCCCACAAGCUGAAAACAUGCUCAGCCCAGCACAGCGUCCGGCACAGAGAAUAUGCUGGGAAGUAUCCGAAUGAAAACUCAUUGCUACGCUAAAGAUCAGAGCCUCUUUCGGACCUGCAUGCCUUCCACGCUCCUCGGGCGCCCCCACCCCCACGCUCACACCGAAGAUGCUUCUCUCCGCGUGACACCGCUCUUCAACCCACAGCCUUCUGGCUCCAGUGCCUUCAGCACUCUGGCCGACCUCCAGGGCCUCCUGCGUCCAGACCCCGUGUGUUUCUGUCACUUCUCAUCCUCCUGGCCUCUCAGAAGCUUCCAAGCUGAUCUCCUGCCCCCAAGGCUUCUCUUUGUGCCCCUGCCUCAGCCCCCUUUUGUAAGAGCCCCCUGUGCCCUUCACCCCCUCCCUGGGGGUAUCAUCUGCUGUGAUUUCAACUUAAUAGGAUUUCAUUCUCCCAGAUCUAUCUCUCUAGCCUAGACCUCUCUCCCAGCUUUCAAAUACCCAGCAGACAUCUUUAUCAGUAUAUAUAGGAGUCACGUUCCUUUAAAUGACUUGGGAAAUGCUUCCUAGCACCUACUGUGUGCCACACACAGCACUAAGUACUGGAGGUUCACUGGGGUAGACCAAGCAUCUGGUCUCCCAGAGCCAAGUGCGAUGGGGAAAAAUGGGCAGAGGAGUAACUGUGAGUACAAAGGGAUGGGAGCUGGAGUUCCUGCCGUGCUCAGUGGUAACAAACCCAACUAGAAUCCAUGAGGACACAGGUUCAAUCCCUGGCCUUGCUCAGUGGGUUAAGGAUCCGGCAUUGCGGUGAGCUGUGGUGUAGGUCGCAGACAUGGCUCGGAUCCCACGUUGCUGUGACUCUGGUGUAGGCUGGCAGCUGCAGCUCCAAUUCGACCCCUAGCCUGAGAACCUCCAUGUGCCGCAGGUGCGGC
Molecule: long non-coding RNA, 2625 nt
Filed under: Sus scrofa (pig)
Lineage: Eukaryota; Metazoa; Chordata; Mammalia; Artiodactyla; Suidae
Description: lncRNA (ENSSSCG00015064860.1)
Source: RNAcentral